GUGGCCAGAACCACCAUCCCCAACCCAGAUCUGAUGGAGGCGGUGGCCAGAACCACUAUCCCCAUCCCCAGACUUGCCUGACCUUGGUGGGCUCGAAUCUAGGUUCUACCGGAUGUGGUGUUUGGCGGCGGCGACCAGAAUCACCACGAGGACCACGGCGGCAGCACCACAAACUCCGGCGUCCACUACCUGAGCCGCAUGAAUCUCCGGCCACUGUGAGGCAUGGAACUCCAUUUAGAUGAUUCUCAAUUAAAUCCAAGUGCGGCACAACGUCUUCAAACAGGCAGAACUUAUCAUAUUCGAUUUCUUUCCUGUUGAAGAUUUUGCGUGAGUUAUAUGUUGGAUUUAUUCCUUUGGUGGCGUGGAUUGCUUGCUGCAGUGCAAAGCAGCACAUAGGAUGCAGGCAACCAGAUUAGUUUUGGAUCUAAAUUUUUUUUAUGCUUUGUUAUUUUAAUAAACCUAAUGCGGGUUAUUUAGUUUAAUAUACAUAAACCUGUUGUAUUUUUUUUACAUGCAUUUUAGAUUGUCCUACAAGCUUUGUACAAUGUUUCCAAUCAAUGCUAGCUCUUUUUAAAGAGAAUCAAGAUAUUUCUACACAAUUAAACAUCAAUAUUUCGAUAGUAAGACAUUGUGUAUGCAUGCACAUUUGCUGACUAACAUGCACGGUCGAUUGUACUGGAUACCUAGGCUUCAUAAGGCUCAAGCAUAACCUCCAGUUUUGCAGGAAAAAAUACACGCUAUAUUUGUUCGGCCAUGAUUUGGAGCCUUUUCAGUUUCUUUGCCUAGAAGAGGAAAAGAAGAGAAGGAACCAAUUCAUGAAUAGGACCCGCAUAGAGCUUAUCCAUCCAUGAAGGCUGAAACCUCUCUCCCUUCCACACAUUAUUUCAGCAUGUGCAUGAAUCAAUACUGAAAACGGCGGGCUUCAUCUUGCCAAACUUGAUUGAAUUUUGUAGGUGUGUCAUUGCUUCAGAUUGUGAAACCUGUGAUUACUCUGUACAUUUGAUUAUUUUUCCUGAUUCCAUGUAGUGUGUCGACAUUUACUUGGAUUUCAACAUUUGUUCGCCUGGGUGUUUCGACAUACACUCCGUCCUCACGCCUGCGGAUUAUGGACAUUUUCACCUGAACACUCAUGACCCAUGUCAAGGCUAAUGUGGCAGCAGUGACUGUGACUGUAAAAGGGUUUUUAUAUUGAUGAUUUUUGCUGCUUUGUCGCGAGGUGGAGCAGUCUUAUGUUGAUUUAAUGUGUGCCUGGUAACCCCCUCUUAGAACGAGUAAGUUUAUCCUAUUUCAUGUGGUUAUCCCCUACUACAGUAAUCUCAUACAAUAAAGUGUUUAAUUAAGCUUGUUCGUAAAAAUUUCAUUCUAAUAAUAUGGAAGUAUUAUGUGUCCAUUGCAAUCUGCUUUCUAGGUGUUGGUCUUGUCAAACAUCAAGGAUGGCAAUGUGGUCGGUUGAGUCGAGAAAGAUGUCUUAGGGAGAUACGAGGAGGGGUCCAGGUCCAGGCUUGUGCUGGUGCUCGGGUAGCUAGGCGCAGGGCGUAAGAACCUGGAAUCCGCUCUCUGUUUCAGCAGUUCGACAUCUUACGGAUGGAUUUGAUUUCUUCUUCUGCUGUUUGUGGUUUUUAUUUGACAUCAAUGAAAGCAUUUGCACGAGCAUUUCUUCUUCUGCUGCUGUCUGGCACCGACAUGUAAAAUGGCUGAUUCAAAGGUGUUGCCUCCGAAUGAUGCUGAGAAUGAUUCAAGUUACGAAAACUUUGGCUUCAUCACUAAUAUUGGUCUCCAACUGUACCCGCCCUCCAGAUUUGAUCGCCAAGAUGGUACAUCAGUGUGGUCUUGCUCUCCAGAUUUGUACACACUUGGUUUUUUCAUUUACUCCAUCAUCUGUUUGUAUUUGACCAAGUGUAUCUCCACAUCUAACGGCCAUGCCUGUUUGGACUUGCUCGUGUAAUACUGGUCUGUUACAAUAUCAUGAAAGACGGGCAGUCUCUAGGAUAUGUUCUGUUUUGAAAUAGUUUAUGAGAUUUCACAGUUGAGUGAUUACAGCUCAGGGUUUGGUGAUGGACAUGGAAUGAAAUGUCAUGCAUGUUUUUACUGACAAAUUCUUGUACCGGUAAAUCAUCUUGUGCAUUUUUAAGCGCAGCCAUAUCAUCUGAUCUUCAGUCUACAUAUGUAUUUUCUUAAGAAUGGAUAAUCACAAAUAUAUUCUCAUGGAGAUAGCAUCUUUUCUUCGCUACCAGCAGGAAUACAGCUUGGACAGUGCAUCAGCUCCAACUUGGCUAGAGUGUUAGUUAUUCUUUCCCUGUUGAAUAAUCAGUUUUAAGAUGUACUUUGUUUAAAAAAAAUUAAGAUGUAUCAUUUGUCCAGCGAAGCAAUCAAAAUUGGUUCAUACUUUCAAAGUAGAAGAUCUAACUAUGUAAAUGUACAUUCUACAACUUCCUUUUACAGGAGGAUAUAUCAUGUUAGUGUGUUGUAUCAAAAUUUGUAUGGACACUUGAUGCCUUUUUA
Non-coding RNA from Lolium perenne, 2502 nucleotides. The record is from RefSeq and is a predicted model, not a curated record. Lineage: Eukaryota; Viridiplantae; Streptophyta; Magnoliopsida; Poales; Poaceae.